RNAcentral lists this ribosomal RNA (253 nucleotides) under uncultured bacterium. RNAcentral describes it as "partial 16S ribosomal RNA". It matches the Rfam family "Bacterial small subunit ribosomal RNA", at positions 524 to 776 of the family's 1533-position model. The record is from RNAcentral.
UACGUAGGAUGCAAGCGUUGUCCGGAAUUAUUGGGCGUAAAGAGCGCGCAGGCGGUCACUCAAGUCAGAUGUGAAAUAUCCGGGCUUAACCCGGAGGGGUCAUUUGAAACUGAGUAACUAGAGUACAGCAGAGGAUAGCGGAAUUCCCGGUGUAGUGGUGAAAUGCGUAGAUAUCGGGAGGAACACCAGUGGCGAAGGCGGCUAUCUGGGCUGAAACUGACGCUGAGACGCGAAAGCGUGGGGAGCGAACAGG